This 366-nucleotide long non-coding RNA is filed under the name Equus caballus (horse). Its description in RNAcentral is "lncRNA (ENSECAG00000043397.2)". Lineage: Eukaryota; Metazoa; Chordata; Mammalia; Perissodactyla; Equidae. The record is from RNAcentral.
AGUUGUAUAUUUUAGCUGUGGGUCCUUCUAGUUGUGGUACGUGGGACGCCGCCUCAACGUGGGCUGAUGAGCAGUGCCAUGUCUGCACCCAGGAUCCGAAUCAGCAAAACCCUGGGCCACCGCAGUGGAGAGCGCGAACUUAACCACUUGGCCACGGGGCCAGACCCUAAAAUCACUUCUUACUUUUGAUAAAUAUGAGGAGGAUUCACCUUGAACUAACGUCUGUGCCGAUCUUCCUCUAUGUUAUAUGUGGGUUGCCACCACAGCAUGGCUGAUGAGUGGCAUAGGUCUGCACUUGGCAUCAAAACCCAUGAACCUGGGCUGCAGAAGUGGAAUGCACGGAAUUUAACCACUAUGCCACCGGGC